GACAGAGGGUGCAAACGUUGUUCGGAUUUACUGGGCGUAAAGCGCAUGUAGGCGGCCGCAUAGGUCGGAUGUGAAAUCCCCUCGGCUCAACCGAGGACGUGCAUUCGAAACCCUGCGGCUCGAGUCCUGGAGAGGGUAGUGGAAUUCUCGGCGUAGAGGUGAAAUUCGUAGAUAUCGGGAGGAACACCGGCGGCGAAAGCGGCUACCUGGACAGAGACUGACGCUGAGAUGCGAAAGCGUGGGGAGCAAACAGG
RNAcentral lists this ribosomal RNA (254 nucleotides) under uncultured bacterium. RNAcentral describes it as "partial 16S ribosomal RNA". It matches the Rfam family "Bacterial small subunit ribosomal RNA", at positions 524 to 776 of the family's 1533-position model. The record is from RNAcentral.